This is a long non-coding RNA of Rosa rugosa (rugosa rose), 977 nucleotides long. RefSeq lists it as uncharacterized. The transcript has 2 exons. NCBI's taxonomy places the organism in Eukaryota, Viridiplantae, Streptophyta, Magnoliopsida, Rosales, Rosaceae. The record is from RefSeq and is a predicted model, not a curated record.
CAGCCGCGUCCUCCCUUCCCUCUCUCUCCCCGACCUCUCUCUCGUCCUCUUACUGCCAGCGCCGGAAAACACCAUUUCAGACCACCACCUAGCAAAACCGUCACCAGGAAUCGAACCAGCAUCCAAAACCAACCCAAGCCCAAGCCUCACCAUCGACAUGCAUCGACUCCGGCCUCCACCUGCGAUCCUCCGAACCGCGACGCCACUGUCGCUACCUCCCUUCGGAUUCCGGCUACCGCCUCGCCACACCACCACCACCGCUCAACUCAGUGGACUACGGAGACCAAAACCCAAAGGCAGCUACCCCAACCGACGCUGGAGAAUCGCCGUACACGCCACCACCGAUGGCAUCGAAUCUGCAUGUCUUCGUUUUCUGGCCUCCAGUCCAAAUCGAGCGAAACCACCUUCAAGAAUGGGAUCAGCGCCUUGUCAAACCCCAAAACCCUAGGGCCCCGACCUCUAACUCUGACCAGAACCACCUCGCGCCGCACGCGCCACCGUUGGCUCGUGAGAAACCCCUAGCUUCGCCGCUCACGGCUGCUGGAGCUUCAGAUCGCCCUUAUUAGGUAAUGUUCGUGUUUCCCCUUCUGAUUGGAGUUUCUGGUUUAAGUGGAAUGAAAUCCCUAAUUCUAUUGAUUGGACUGUGUGAGGUUUAUGAAUCUGCGAUAUGAAGUUUAUGGAGAAGGUGAGCUAUUGGGAUAGCUUUGAUCGAAUUCAGAUACGGAUCCGAAAGGUUAAAGGUGAUGAGAUGCAGCUAUGAGGAAUUGGUUCCUAUUUGGAAAAGAAGUUGUGGUAAGGGUCCGGGUAUCUUAGAUAUGUAUUGCCUUGGUCUGAUUAUGUAAAUUGAAGAUGUGGUUUUAUUGAAUACGCGAAACGAAACUUGGUUCUGUGCAAUAUCAAUUAUGUCGGAAACUUGGCAUGAAUGAACGAGUGUAAAUGAGCUUAGAGGAUUGGUUUUGUUUAAUUAAAGGAGUGAA